UGCAAGUCGAACGAUGAAGCCGCUUCGGUGGUGGAUUAGUGGCGAACGGGUGAGUAACACGUGGGCAAUCUGCCCUUCACUCUGGGACAAGCCCUGGAAACGGGGUCUAAUACCGGAUAAUACUCCUGCCUGCAUGGGUGGGGGUUGAAAGCUCCGGCGGUGAAGGAUGAGCCCGCGGCCUAUCAGCUUGUUGGUGGGGUAAUGGCCUACCAAGGCGACGACGGGUAGCCGGCCUGAGAGGGCGACCGGCCACACUGGGACUGAGACACGGCCCAGACUCCUACGGGAGGCAGCAGUGGGGAAUAUUGCACAAUGGGCGAAAGCCUGAUGCAGCGACGCCGCGUGAGGGAUGACGGCCUUCGGGUUGUAAACCUCUUUCAGCAGGGAAGAAGCGCAAGUGACGGUACCUGCAGAAGAAGCGCCGGCUAACUACGUGCCAGCAGCCGCGGUAAUACGUAGGGCGCAAGCGUUGUCCGGAAUUAUUGGGCGUAAAGAGCUCGUAGGCGGCUUGUCACGUCGGAUGUGAAAGCCCGGGGCUUAACCCCGGGUCUGCAUUCGAUACGGGCUAGCUAGAGUGUGGUAGGGGAGAUCGGAAUUCCUGGUGUAGCGGUGAAAUGCGCAGAUAUCAGGAGGAACACCGGUGGCGAAGGCGGAUCUCUGGGCCAUUACUGACGCUGAGGAGCGAAAGCGUGGGGAGCGAACAGGAUUAGAUACCCUGGUAGUCCACGCCGUAAACGUUGGGAACUAAGGUGUUGGCGACAUUCCACGUCGUCGGUGCCGCAGCUAACGCAUUAAGUUCCCGCC
This 804-nucleotide ribosomal RNA is filed under the name Streptomyces sp. 2SH4_09. Its description in RNAcentral is "bacterial SSU rRNA". It matches the Rfam family "Bacterial small subunit ribosomal RNA", at positions 56 to 873 of the family's 1533-position model. Lineage: Bacteria; Bacillati; Actinomycetota; Actinomycetes; Kitasatosporales; Streptomycetaceae. The record is from RNAcentral.